GCAGCCGUGGCCAACUGGUUAGCACUCUGGACUUAUAACCAGAGGGUUGCCGGUUCGAGCCCCUGCGGCUGAA
This 73-nucleotide transfer RNA is filed under the name Alosa alosa (allis shad). RNAcentral's name for it is "tRNA-OTHER". The record is from RNAcentral. Lineage: Eukaryota; Metazoa; Chordata; Actinopteri; Clupeiformes; Clupeidae.